UCUCCGUAGGUGAACCUGCGGAGGGAUCAUUCCUGAUUCGUGCAUUAUGGCAAUUUCCUGAAUACAUACCCACUUUGUGUGCAACGGCAGGGUUGGUCUCGUUUGAUCAGCGCCACAGAACAACUAUUAUCCCGACUCUUUGUCUGAAAAAUAUUAUGAAGUAACCAAUUCAAAAUAAAACUUUCAACAACGGAUAACCUGGCUCUCACAUCGCUGUAGAACGCAGCAGCUCGGAAGAACACACGACUGAAGUACAGCCACGCAUAGAAAUCUCGUCAC
This 279-nucleotide unclassified non-coding RNA is filed under the name plant metagenome. Its description in RNAcentral is "partial contains small subunit ribosomal RNA, internal transcribed spacer 1, and 5.8S ribosomal RNA". The record is from RNAcentral.